AGUGGACGCUGGCGGUAGGCCUAACACAUGCAAGUCGAACGGCAGCACAGUAAGAGCUUGCUCUUACGGGUGGCGAGUGGCGGACGGGUGAGGAAUACAUCGGAAUCUACUUUUUCGUGGGGGAUAACGUAGGGAAACUUACGCUAAUACCGCAUACGACUUACGGGUGAAAGCAGGGGAUCUUCGGACCUUGCGCGAUUGAAUGAGCCGAUGUCGGAUUAGCUAGUUGGCGGGGUAAAGGCCCACCAAGGCGACGAUCCGUAGCUGGUCUGAGAGGAUGAUCAGCCACACUGGAACUGAGACAUGGUCCAGACUCCUACGGGAGGCAGCAGUGGGGAAUAUUGGACAAUGGGCGCAAGCCUGAUCCAGCCAUACCGCGUGGGUGAAGAAGGCCUUCGGGUUGUAAAGCCCUUUUGUUGGGAAAGAAAAGCAGCAGGUUAAUACCCCGCUGUUCUGACGGUACCCAAAGAAUAAGCACCGGCUAACUUCGUG
This 492-nucleotide ribosomal RNA is filed under the name uncultured bacterium. RNAcentral's name for it is "partial 16S ribosomal RNA". It matches the Rfam family "Bacterial small subunit ribosomal RNA", at positions 29 to 507 of the family's 1533-position model. The record is from RNAcentral.